Molecule: ribosomal RNA, 253 nt
Filed under: uncultured bacterium
Lineage: Bacteria
Description: partial 16S ribosomal RNA
Rfam family: Bacterial small subunit ribosomal RNA
Source: RNAcentral
UACGGGGGGGGCAAGCGUUGUUCGGAAUUACUGGGCGUAAAGGGCGCGUAGGCGGCUCGCUAAGUUGGAUGUGAAAACUCUGGGCUUAACCCAGAGCCUGCAUUCAAAACUGACGAGCUAGAGUUCUGGAGGGGAUAGCGGAAUUCCUGGUGUAGCGGUGAAAUGCGUAGAUAUCAGGAGGAACACCGGUGGCGAAGGCGGCUAUCUGGACAGAAACUGACGCUGAUGCGCGAAAGCUAGGGGAGCAAACAGG